Molecule: ribosomal RNA, 460 nt
Filed under: uncultured bacterium
Lineage: Bacteria
Description: partial 16S ribosomal RNA
Rfam family: Bacterial small subunit ribosomal RNA
Source: RNAcentral
CCUACGGGAGACUGCAGUGAGGAAUAUUGGUCAAUGGACGAGAGUCUGAACCAGCCAAGUAGCGUGAAGGAUGACUGCCCUAUGGGUUGUAAACUUCUUUUAUAUGGGAAUAAAAUGUUCCACGUGUGGGUUUUUGUAUGUACCAUAUGAAUAAGGAUCGGCUAACUCCGUGCCAGCAGCCGCGGUAAUACGGAGGAUCCGAGCGUUAUCCGGAUUUACUGGGUUUAAAGGGAGCGUAGGUGGAUUGUUAAGUCAGUUGUGAAAGUUUGCGGCUCAACCGUAAAAUUGCAGUUGAAACUGGCAGUCUUGAGUACAGUAGAGGUGAGCGGAAUUCGAGGUGUAGCGGUGAAAUGCUUAGAUAUCACGAAGAACUCCGAUUGCGAAGGCAGCUCACUGGACUGCAACUGACACUGAGGCUCGAAAGUGUGGGUAUCAAACAGGAUUAGAUACCCCUGUAGUC